Long non-coding RNA from Gallus gallus (chicken), 8119 nucleotides. RefSeq lists it as uncharacterized. NCBI's taxonomy places the organism in Eukaryota, Metazoa, Chordata, Aves, Galliformes, Phasianidae. The transcript has 3 exons. The record is from RefSeq and is a predicted model, not a curated record.
CUCCGGCUCCCCCAGCAGUGAGGCCGAGCGCACACGCCCCCCUCCGCUCGGCUUUCCGCGCAAUUCUCGCGCAACGCACCCCCACCCCUUUUUCUUUAUUAUUAUUUUUUUUUCUUCUGUAUGUUUGUUGUUGUUUUCUUUUUCCCCCUUUUUUAUUUUCGCUUUUCCCUCCCCCCACGCUCCCCUCGGAGGAGAAACUUUGCGAGGGGAUCCGCGUCCAGGCAAGAGCCCGCGGAGGGGGCGCGGGGCGCGGCAUCGCGAAGGAGAGAUUGGGGCGGGGAGUUCCAUAGGGGGAGAUUAAAAAAUAAAUAAAUUGGGGGAAAAAAAGAUUACCGGGGAGGGGGGUUGGGGGGUGGGUAGAAAAGGAGAUUAAUUAUUUUUUUUUAAUUAUUGGGGGAAAAAAAAAAAAAAAAAAAAACCUGAACCGAGUCCAAAAUGGCUUCUAAAAAAAAUGGGAGAAGCCAAAGCGGAGCCAACGAGGGGGAAACCCGGAUGUUUGAUACAAAGAGGGCUGGAGGGGGGCGGAGCGGCGCGGGGGCUCCGCAGCUCUGAGUGGGGCGCGGCGCUGCCCGUCAACCCCGCGGAGCGCCGCGCACCGCCCGCGGCUCCUGCGGCCGCGCUGCGCCGGGAGGUGCGGGGCUGGGGGUGCGGGGGGAGCCCCUGCGCUGUCCUUGUUAGGGCCCUCCCGGGGUUAGCGGGCUUCUCUCCAUCGCCAGCGAUGCGGGCGCUGAGCUCCGCCCGCGAUUUCUUGCAAUUAUAAGGCGAUCGUGCGGAAUUGGGGAGCCCGGAGAGGUCUUAGGGGGGUGGAAAAAGGGGGGUGGUCAGCUUGGGUGCCCUACCUAAGCUUUGGGGAUUUUGCCCUGCAGGGAGGUAAGAGGAAAUGGAAAUCGUUCUCUGCAAACUUUGGGAAGCGCUUUGCUGCGAGGAGAAAUUCUGGUGGGAUUUCUUUUUUUUUUUUUCCCACCUUUGGGAAACUUAGCUGUGUAUGUGUAACAGCCAUGGAACGCGCUCUGAGCUGUAUAAGCGGGAUCCCAAGUGGAGCUGCAAGGAGCUGAUGACCGGUAUCCUUCAUGCUGCCGUGCUUCCUCAUGCGUGUGCUGCGUGGAAGGGGGGGGGCACCCACAGAACCUUACACACACGGCAUGGGGAGGUCAUGGGGAUGGUGCAGCUGGUGCAGUUGCAGGAAAGCAUCCAAAAUAAUACAAACGUGGGGCAAACAGCACCGAAACCAAAGCCCGCAGGGAGUCAGGAGAAAGCAAGGUGUGUUGUGGCACCUGGGUAAGUUAAAGCGUGGGUGGGAGAUGAGAUGGAGAUGAUGUGUUUGUGAGAGGGCAGAGCGGGGGGGCUGAGCCCUGCUCCCUGCAUUGGCACAGUCUGCCCAUGGAGGCAGUGGGGUCACUGACCAUGGAGGACAUCAAGAGCCAUGGAGAUGUGGCACUGGGAGACAUAGUGGGCAUGGUGGGGUGGGUUGAUGGUUGGACAAGAUGGUCUUAGAGGUCUUUUGGUCCUUAAUGGUUCUACCAUUCUGUGAUUCUGUGACUGCACGGGGGUGCAGUGGGACUGGAGAUGGGUGCAAUGGGGAGAGGGGGUUUCCUGGCUGAUGCUCAGGGAAUGUCACAGCUUCAAGGGAAGACCAAACGUGAGCCAACAUCUCCUACAGGGCUGCUUGUUUUGUUGAAGGACAAGCUCUGAAACAGCUGAAGAAUGGAGGAAUGGGCGGGACAGUGAAAUAUAAACAUGCUGGCAUCCGUCAGUAUCCAUCCUUCAUGUUCAGCUCUGACCAAGAGAAGCGCAGCCCUCCAGUCGGGCUCCCCAGUCACAGAAUCACACACAGAAUCACAGAAUGGCCUGGGUUGGAAGGGACCUCAAGGAUCAUGAAUCUCCAACCCCCCUGCUGCAUGCAGGGCCACCAACCUCCCCAUUUAAUACUAGACCAGGCUGCCCAGGGUUUCAAUCACAGCACCGUCACGGAGUCCCUUUCCCAGCAUCCCAAUUUGUGCCCUAUGGCCCCCAGGGUGAGUUUUGCCCCUGUGUAAGCAAUCCCCCCCUGUUCUCCUUUAUCCCCUGUGCACCUGGGCGGCAUCCCGCCUCGCUUACAUUGUUUCACAGGGAGGUGUUUACCCGCCCGAAAAGCUAAAAUGUUUUCACCUCUUGCAACUUGAAAGCACAGGAGCUGUAUGGCGGAUGGGAAUGUUACAGCCUGGGCACGAGGGCACUCGAAAACCUCACCAACCUUCAGGAGUUUUGGAAACGGGGCUGGAGGGAGGUAGCGGUUAGGGUUAGGGUUAGGGUUAGGGUUAGGUGCCAUCAUUGCACCCCGCGGUCUGAAAGCCCUCCUGCAUUUAAAACACAUUCUGUCCGGGCUGGUUUCGUGCCGCCCGGAGUCCUGUGACGCUCAAUCUUUGCCGUGUGCCAUUUGGAACAAGUGGGCUGCGUGCAUCCCGAUACCCCGUAUGUGAUGAAGGUAUUGGGAUCGCUUAAGCCGGCACAGAGCUGCGGUGCUCGCGUGUCAUUUGUCUUCAAAUCCUAUUGUAGCGCUCGUGAGAUGUAAUUUCUGCAGUGAAUGGCAAUGUGUGCUGACAGAGGUGUUAUAAAACACGGAAAAUACGGAGGGAAGGGACCCGGCGUUUCCUUUCUCUCCCCCUUUACGCACUGAUGUGGAUUUAUUUUGCAGCAUGCAGGGCAGUGAUGCAGCCCCUCUGAUUGCUCUUCAGCCCUGUGAGGGAACCCACAUUGCCUGCAACAGGUUUUCCUUUUACACCAUGGAUGAUGGCCUUUGCUUACUGGGAGCUAAGUUGUCUGGAGGAGACCCAUCUUCAUGUGCUGGCAGCUGGUGAAGUGCAAAUGGAGAGUGACUACAAAGACCAGAGUGUGAGUUACCAGCUGAGACUUUUGGACCUGGGAUAACAAGCUGCAAACCUCUUCAACUGCCUCACGCGUCAAAAGACUCUCCAUCUGUCAUUAAUAUGCAUCAAAGAUAAGGAUGCCUGUGGGUCAGGAUGAGCAGAAAAACAGUCCUACUCUGCAACAGAGAAUUCAAGGAGCCCAGGGACCUAACCCAAAUCUGGAGGGAGAGUUUUAGAAAAGCAUUUAAGUGGCAGGUUCCAGUGCAAGUCAGAACCAUGCUUGUAAAUCAACAAGAUCCUUUAAAAAUCCCACCGUGUCACCUGCCCUCAGCAUCUAGAGUGGUUGUUUAUUUUGCAGACAUCUUCACAAUUCCAUUCUCAAGAUUAUAAUUCACUUGGUGGUACCGCAGUUCUCGCACCCUUGAAGUUAAGUAAAUGGUUAAGUGCAGUGGUGGUUCAGAGCUAGAAGACUCUCUACCUUGCAGGAUUGAGCCCUUUAAUCUAUUCUUAUUUCCUUUUCAAUUUCUGCAAGUAACCCCAAGCAAGCUGGAAACACUAAGUGCAAAGUUACGGGAGAUGACUGUGGCAAUUUCUGAAUGACAAGAGCAUUUAAAAGAAAUGUCAAGAGUCUGUGGGCUGCAAGCUUUUAUGUUUCAAGGAGAAACAAAAAGAAAGGAGGGACAAUAAAUCAAACACAACAGCUUAGCGUGCUCCAUCUCUCAGAGUUAACCUCUUGAAAGCCAUGUCCCCAGCACAGAGUGGGCCACACUCUUUGAUAGGGUCCAUUAUUCUCUGUAGAGCAAUAGAGGUGGCAUGGUGGGCUCCUCCGUGCGUGCCCAGGGGCUGUGUACACUGCGCCUUGCUUAACAUGUGCUCUGCAUUUAUGGGUUAACAUCAAACAUGAGCUGAUUUAUAAUUCUUAAUCAAAAAAGGAUUAUAACCUAAUAAAUCCUACUAACAUAUUCUGUCUGGAGGUUAUGUGGUGUAGUUGUAUAAUAUACUGGUAGCCUCAUUCUCCUAAGACUGGAAGACUGGACAAAGUUUUAUACUUGUCAAACAACUGUUCCCUUUGCUUAAAUGGAUCAAGACCCUUUAAGCACCGUGAUGCAAAUGGUCAUCCCUCUGAAUGGAGUCUUUCGUGCUAUAACAAGUUUUGAAGUACCUAGAAGCAUACCAGGAAACUUGCUGCACCUCUGUGCACUGGAUGUCUCAUCUCACUUCAAAGGCUCACUAGUGCUGGUUAAGGCUUAACUGUUGGCCAUUAGCUGAAUCUAAGCAUGAAACAUGUCAAACACAUCACCGAUGGUAGUCAGAGCCCUAAUGAGACCUCAAGAACUAACUAAUAGAGGCUAAGUGACAGUUUGUACAGAGCCUUUGUUUUCCAAGUUAAAAAAACGUUGGCACAAAAGACAAGUUAACCCUCUGUUUUGGAUUUUCUGAAUUUUGGAUCUCCCACCUAGACAGGCAGGUAUUAUUGCAGGGAACCUGUAGGUAAUCCAGACCUGCCAAUUAUCUGAGGAGGUUUCUGAGCCUUCUGUUCCCAAAGAAUGAUCAUCUUCUCUCCAAUCCAUACUCUGCCUCCCAGCAGAAGUCUGUUCUGGAAGAUCGUUUUACUUCCCGGAAGACCUAAUUAACACUAAAGACUAAUGGAGGCUAUAGUGUAGAGAUUUUUUUUUUUUUUUUUAAUUUUGACUUUAGUGCCAUUUUAGAAGCUUCUCCUCCCUGCUCUUUAUUUGCACACAAUAACUAAAACACCACAGUGGGGAAGAUGUGGCCAAGGAGACUCAUGGUAAUUUCAAACUAGAAAUAAGCAUUAUGCUGUUGCCUUGUGCUUCUCUUCUGUGUUUGCACCCACAGGUGGUUUCAGCCUCAUCUUAUAGAUACCUUAUAGCUGAGGAUGGUGUCUUUGUACACAAUACAUGUUCUUGGCAUUAUGAAGCUCAGUGGCUCUUCAAUGAGCAAGAUCUCAACAGAAAUUCCUCAUCUUGUUCCAUCUUCCACUGGAAAAGAGUGUCAGUGGGGCAACCCAAGGCAUAAUAACCUCAAAAGAAGGAUAGAGUUAUUCCUUGGUAUGCCUUUAAUGAAAGGUUUUCAAACCAAUCAGACAAAUUGUUCAGGAUCAACAAAGCCCAUGUCAGUAGGAUUGCUCUCACUCACGUGGGGAGAGCAUGGAAAGAAAACUUGUUAGAAUUGAUCUCAGGUUGGAUAUUAGAAAGAGUAGUGGUAAUGCAUUGGCACAGGCUGCCUGGGGAUGUGGUGGAGUCACCAUCCCUGCAGGUGUUCCAGAACCGUGGAGAUGUGGCACUGAGGGACAUGGUCAGUGGGCAUGGUGGGGAUGGGUCGAUGGUUGGACUAAAUGAUCUUAGUGAUCUUUUCCAGACUUAAUGACUCCGUGAUUCUGUGAUCCACAGAAUUGUAAUGAUUGCAAUGAAUAGGUUUGGAAUGUUUCUCAGAACAGCUACAACCUUGAAGACACAGACCUGGAGAAGGCAACUCUUUGGGCCCUUUUCCAUUAGCCUACAGCUAAAACCUAUAGUUUCUUCAGAGCUCAGCUAAAACAAGCCUAGGCUGACUUCAUUAGUUGCAAUCUCUUAUAAUUCUCUUAAUCAGUAGGCCUUGGACACAGAGAUUCAUACCCUUUUGCCUUAAUCCAUCUCUUUUUGAAAUACUAAAGUACCACUUCUUCCACAAGUAUUUGUGGAAGGAGGGCACACAAAGUGUCUUCUUUCACUUUCAGGCUCAGAGGAAAGUGUUGGCUGUAGGUGUUAUUGUACUAACAUUGAUUGUACUGCUAUAAUAAAUGCAUCUGUCCAACACUUCAGAAAUAUUUGGGGAAGUAAUAGCUGUGCUUUUUCAGUCUCGUUGAAAUUCAAGAUGAAAAGAUUGACUUCCUAUCUAGGUCCAUAUAACCUGUUUCCUUCUUUGCACAGUUCAAAAACGUCUCCUGCUCUCCAUUUCUCAACCUGUCAGAGCACUGGGGUUCUAGCAGAAGAGCAGUAAGUGAGCUGAUGGGUUGAUGGGUGGACUAGAGGAUCUUAGUGGUCUUUUCCAACCUUAAUGAUUCUAUGAUUCUAAAUGCAGCCAGCAUGCCACUCCUAGCAGCCCAGUGAGGCAACUGGGCUGCUCACAGAGUAAGAUGUUAGAGCUGAAUGCAUUUCCUGGGAGAGAGGAAGGACCAUGCAAGCAAACAAGAGCUCAGCCAACUUCUCAAAGCAGGAGGUUUUCUGCAACCAGUGUGAGAUUUAUCCAAAGUCCCAACCAAAAAAAAAAAAAAAAAAAAGUGCAGAUUUCCAGGGACAGGACUCACUGGACUUGGCAGAACCCAUCCAAAUUCCUCCAUUUACUCAACUGCUGUAAAUGAAAAGGAAAAAUAAUAAUAUUUUUGCAAGCAAAAUCCAGCAACACAGCAAAGAAAUGAGAAGCAGAGAAAUGAGCCUGAUUCAGACAAAAUGUUACAGAUACAGAUCAGCCUUGCUCACCACAGCCGUUCCCCACCACCAGAAACUUUCUGGUUUGAAUAAAUAAGGGUUUGGAGUGUGGGUAGUUCUCAGAUCCAAGACAGCUUUUAAAUCUGCCUACCUCUUAGCAAAACUCAGCUCUAAUCCUAGUGUAAGCAAAUGGAUGUUAGUAAAACAAAAGCAUUAAACAGCUUCCCGAUCUCCUUCUCCCGCUCUUCCUGCUCUCCUUCUUUCCCCUCCAGCCAUUCUUUGCCAUAUCUGCAGCAUCAGGCUGUAUUCUUAAUAGGCAGCUUGAUAAGUCUAUCCAUUGUGACCACAAUCUUUGCCAAAACUGGAGGCUUUAAAGCCUAAAAUGGUGCGCUGCCACUUUUGGGAUUAAAGACACUAAAGGCUGUCUGGAUGAAGCAUCAAUAGAUUGUUUCUCUGAGGAUGAGAUAGCGAGGGAGUAAAGAAACACACACCUAUGGCUCCUACCAUUCAUCUUCCUGAUACAGGCUCUGGAGGCAUGGCACAGAUUUUGGGGAGCUAGGAUUCUGGGCUCACAGUGCUUGCUGUGACCCUGCUCGCUGGGGCUCAGUGAGAUGGAUACGGGCAGAAGUAUCAUCGAGAUUUAAUGUGGCAGUUUUAGACUCAUAAUCAAAGUUGGCAUCUCUGUUGCCGAUCUUAAGGAGCGUAUCUGGUUUUACAGAGGCACAGCUCCCAUCAUGAACUUCUUUAAUUGCACAUAAGCCCUGAUUUUUGCAGCUCCACUUUUAUAAAAGCCUUUUUAGCUCUUAUUGCCUGGAGCCAUCUGAGGCUACAGAAUUGUCCCCAGUUUUUUGAAGACCUGAUUUUUCAGUGGUGUUUUUGUGUCCUGAGACUUUUUGCAAAAAAAAAAAUGAGAGCUAAAGGCGCUAAUAAAGAAGUGGCAAUAAUUAGAAAACGUCUUGCACAGUACAGAUUUUAUAACUCCACAGAUACCGUGGUAUUAACAUUCUGUUUGUCCACCUGUUAGAAGAAAGAGAUCUGAAGAGUCAUAACUCUAAAACAGUGGGUGACAAUUUAAUGAAAAAUUGAGCUCUGCGUUUAAUUUCCUUUUAAGUUCAGUUGAGCAUUCUACAAGAUCAAAGGGGCUUUGUGGUUUGCAAAUGAUCUACGAUAUCAGAGAAACAGAUUAUAACCCGGCACAGUUUGGUAUUUAAGUAAGUAUCCGCUUUUAAUACCAAUGUUUAAAGUAGGCUAAUGGAACUAAAGCGCGAGUAUAAUUUCCUAUGAUACAAGUCUAUAAUCCAGUUUAAUAUAUCAACCGAACGCUAAAAGCAUAUUGUGAAUUUAAUUCUGUGACUUGGCCCUGUUUGCAAAGUAUCCUGAGACAUCAUAAAAUGCAUCUAGCACAAAAAGAGGCCCUGCCUUAGUUUGUAACUUUUGGGGUAGGGACUGGGCUCUAUGUGGGUUUGGAACGUUAGAAAUAGUUAAGCAAAAGUAGUGCUGCACAUCAGGGAGGAAUUUUUUGUUUUGUUUUAGCCUAGCUGCUGGAUAUUUGCCUAGAAGACAUCCUACAGCUGGCUUUUCCCCUUUCAUGUCCACGCAAUGCUACCGUGGGCAGUAGAACUACAGAAACAAAUAAACAGAAUAAUAGAAUGGCUUAAGUCAGAAGGAAACGUAAAGAUCAUUGAGUACUAAUCCCUGCUGUGGGCAGGACUGCCAACCACUAAAUCAGGCUGCCCAGGCCUCCGACCAACCUGGAAUGGGGUUACACCAGGUUAAAAGGUACCUCUGCUUUUUUUUUAAUAUAUUUUAUUUUUUAAACAAGUUCCUGCAGUGUCAGGUUCCAUA